GAUGAAGAACGUAGCGAAAUGCGAUACGUAGUGUGAAUUGCAGAAUUCAGUGAAUCAUCGAAUCUUUGAACGCACAUUGCGCCCUUUGGUAUUCAAAAGGGCAUGCCUGUUCGAGCGUCAUUUGUACCUUCAAGCUUUGCUUGGUGUUGGGCGUUUUUGUCUCCCUCUUUCUGGGAGACUCGCCUUAAAACGAUUGGCAGCCGGCCUACUGGUUUCGGAGCGCAGCACAUUUUUUGCGCUUUGUAUCAGGAGAAAAGGACGGUACUCCAUCAAGACUUUUACAAUUUUAACUUUUGACCUCGGAUCAGGUAGGGAUACCCGCUGAACUUAAGCAUAUCAAUAAGCGGAGGA
Molecule: unclassified non-coding RNA, 351 nt
Filed under: soil metagenome
Description: partial contains 5.8S ribosomal RNA, internal transcribed spacer 2, and large subunit ribosomal RNA
Rfam family: 5.8S ribosomal RNA (bases 1-120)
Source: RNAcentral